GAAUUCUUAUUAUAUUAUUUAUUUGGAUUUCUUAAUUUAAAAAUUGUUAAAUACAAUCUAAAACGUUCUUAUCGUGAAAAGAAAAAUUUUACUAGUACACUAUUAUUUACUACACAACCGAUAAGAAUUAACGAAUAAUCAAUAAUUCUGAUGAGAACAAUAACAUUAUAAUAAUCUUAAAAUACAAAGAUCGCUGGUUUUUAAAGAACAAUUCGAGAUGAGAAAAAUGCAAGAUCUCAUUAGCAAUAGAAGGGGAAGAUGAACACUUUCAUAUAUGAAUUCCACUCGUGGUAACAAUCUCUUAGGAUGGUAUGAUCAUUACCAACUUUCUCUACUGGCCGACUUUUUCCUCUCUUUACUACUACGUAUCCGCCAAUGAUCCUCGAACGAAUGCUUUCGCUCAAAACCAAUACUUUUCUUAUCCUCUUAGUGUAAAAUGUUGAAGACACUUCCCCCAUUGUACGUAAUUAAAUGAAACAAUGAUUCCCCUUUUUUAUUUAAUUUAAUUUUUUAAAGUAUUUAUGAAUGUCUACGUAUCUCGAGGGAAUUACAAUUUUGUUUUUUUUCUUUAAAAAAUUAUAGUUGUGAAUAUCAUUCUUUAUUUUCCUUUCUAUUAUUUUUCCUUACAAAAAUAUAAUACAAAAAGCAUAAUUAUAAAAAUUUCUUCGUUAUAAGCUUCAAAAAUUUAGAUAUUUUUUAUAAUUUACGAAAAAGUUAAGAAAUACGAGUUAAAAAGUAAAUUUCAAUUUUCAAGCACGAAUUAAUUUAUAUUUUUUCUAAUUAAUAAUAUUAUUUACUCUUUCUUUUUUUUAAAUUAAAUAAUUAAUCGUCAUUUUAUUUAUUCAUUAGACUUAAAGAAAGAAUAAAUUUCUAUGGAAUCUAGUAGAAAUAUUAUUUUGCAAUAAAGAGAAAAUAUAUAUAUAUAUAUAUAUAACAAACUUUUAUUAUUCGAAAAACGUUUUAUUUCAAAGACUCUUUCAAAUAAUAAAAAAGAAAAUAUAUUCUAAAUUCCUAAAGUUUCACCGAUCAUAGUUUCAAUAUAGUUCCAUAAAAGAAACUCGAAGAAAGUAGAAAUAGGGGAUGUUUUGAUGUGAUUUCCGAAAUUUGAAUUCUAUUCACCCUAUCGUGAAGAUGGAAAGUUCUAACAUUAAACUUUGAACCGACUAUGUGUAUGUAUGCAUAUCAUUACCACUCGUGAAAAAAUUUUUUCAAACUUUACAAGAUACAUGUAUGUAUCCUAGUUGGAAUGAAAAGAAAUAAAUAAAAAUUCUUUCACUUUUUUCUAAUAUUUAGUUCUAACAAUAAACUUAUUUAAAAAAAUUUUUAACAUUUUUCAAAUACGCGGAGAGUAACAAUAUUAAUUACAUAUUAAUCACAUAUGAUCAUUUCAAAAAGUCAAAACACAAAAAUUGAUAUAAAGAAAUGUUAAUAAAGAAGUGUUAUUAUAAGAAGAAUUAAAGUUUAUCAUAUUAAGUUAUAAGCAUUUUAAAUUUGUCUUAGAUGAAGAAAAAUCAAAACAGAGCAAGUGUGUGAGAAAGACAAAGCUGUCUUUAACAAGACCAUUAUUAUAAACUUUUCUAAUGAAUUUUUUUAAUCUUCUUUUUAAUUUUUUAAUUUUUCCAUUCAAAAAUAUUUGAAUCCAAUUGCGAAUUCAAAUAUCCCAUUUGCAAUUAUUAACAAUUAUCAAAAUAAUUAUAGAAAUUGAAACUAAAGAAUAAUAUGUACAAUGAGAAAAAUAUUUUUCCCAUCUAAUAGAAGAAAAUUUAGAUCAGAGAAAAGAAAAUAAAUAAUUUGAAAUAGGAAAUAAAGAAAAAUAACUCACAUCAGAAUCUUUUCCUUCUUUUCCUUUCUUUUUUUUUUUUAUUAAAAUUCUUUAUUUUCUGUGUUUCGUAGCAUUCUCCUAAAUGAUAAUUGAACGUAACUUAAUGGAAAAUCCGCGGUGUAUCAAGGAAAAAAGGACAGAGAUAGAAGGAAAAGAGAAAAAUAUACUAGAAAUAUCGAAAUAUCGUUCACUUAAAUCGGCAAAAUAGUACAUAUGUGGCGGUGUACUUUGUUUCUCGUUCCUUUUAAGACACGUGAAAUCAUCUUAAGAUUAUAGAUUUUAUAGAUUAACGAUCGAAUGAAGCAAACCAAUCGAUCAACCGAUUCGACUGGUGUUUGGUUCAUUAAUUGGAUAAAGGUACAGAGGCAGAUACAGUGGACAGGGGUAAAGUCGUAUUUAUAAGUUUUUAUAUCCAAAGAACGUCGUUCACAUGAAAAAUCAUCGAUCAAUAUUUAUUAAAGGCAUUGGAAUUUUAAGGAAAAUUAAUAAAAAUAAAAAGAAAAAAAGAAAAUAUCAUUCUCGAUGCCGUUUUCGAUACGAACAACGCUCUUUCUCGUUAAAGCCUUUGUCAAAAAGUACAAUGCUCGUGAAUUAAGUGACGUUAUAUAUAUAUAUAUAUAUGUAAUAAACAGUACAGAAGAUUUAUAUACUCGUAACCGGUGAUUAAAUAAUAAUCAAAAACAACAGUUACAACAAAAUUAUAAUAAUCAUUAUAAACCGUGGCGAUUAGUCGCAUGAUAUGAACGAUUCCUUCGUGUGAUUUAAAUGCAUAAUUUAUAACAACAAUAACUGUUUAAUCCUCUUAUUUGAUUAUACAUCAUAUAAAGAGAUUGCAUAUAUUGUACAAUCUCGUGCAAUAUUCUGUUUGUAAGAUCAUCUGUUUUUUUCACUGGAAAAUAUUCCAUAAAUGAAGAAAAGAAAAAAAAUAUAAAGAAGAGUGAAGGAUACCACGUUCAGAACGGCAUUGGAAUUGUUCGAAAGCAAAGGAGAACUUAAAAAAAUCUAAUAACAAAUUCUACUAUUUUUGCCACAAAUACAUUUGAAAAUUAAAUAUAUUUACGUUCGUAAAUCCUGUCAUUUUUUAAUCAGGAAUACCGCUUUAUAUUUUAAAUUAAGUGAAAAAAAUAUAUUUAAUACGAUACAGGCCGAUCAUUUUGUGUUGCGUUACUCGUUAAUAUCAAUUGAAUAAUAUAAAAUAAAAUAUAUUAACAACAAUAAUUCUUAAGAAUGGAAGAAGGAACGCAAAAAGAAUUUUAAGCAGUCUUCGAAUCGAGAGUUCAUUGUAAAAUCAUUAUGAAAAGUUAAAAAUCCAUUAAGCAUAUUGCAAAUACAAAAAUUACACUCGUUACCUAAAAAGAAAAUUUCUUAUUUUAAUUGAUUCGAUAAACAUUAAACUUUUUUUUUACACCGUUUUUCGUUUAAACUUUUAGAAACUCGUUUUUUUCUUUUUUUCUUUUACAUAAGUAUUUACCAAAAGGACAUUCAUCUUCAAUCAAAGAAAAACAAUAUAUUUCCUUUUUGAAAAUCAUAUUAUAAUAUCGAUGCAAGAGUGAGGAGAAUUUUGUCAAAUAAGAAAAAUCGAAACUCAAAAAAAAUAUAUAUAUUUUUUUUUAUCUCUUAUAAAAUUCUCAUUAUCUCAUUAUAUUAAUUAUUAUCCAUAUUUUAUAAUUUUGUAAAUUAUCAUUUCGAUCGAAUAUUUUUACAAAACAUAAAAUAAAGAAAUUAAAACUUUGAUUUGAAAAUUCGUAGAAGUUUUAUUGAAUACGCAUAUACUUUAUUUAAUAUUAAUAUUAAUUGGAUAAAAAAUACUUGUUCUAUGCCAGUGCUUUUUUUUUACAAAAAUUCCCAUUACUUUUGCAUCUAUGAAGAUCUUCGUUUUAUUUAACAGCUAUGAAAAAUUAGCAUCGAUUUGAUAUAAACCAUUAAAUAUAAUCCGCUUUCGAUUGAUCUUAUUACGUCAAUAUUUCAUUAGCACUUUUUUUUCUCCUUUUUAAAUUUUUUAGAACGUCGAAUGAAUUAAAAAGAAGAGAUAAUAAUAAUCGAGAUAAUCGUUGUUAUAAUAAUAAUAAGAAAAAAACGUAAGAACGUUUAAUUUUUAAAAACGGUACUACUAACGAUAUUUGUAGCAAAAAUAUACAGGCCACGUGGCUGCUUACAAUAUACGCUUCGCAAAUUCUUAAAAGGAAAGAAAACUUAACAAACGCGAGAGAAAUGAAAUUAUUUUUCUUUUUUUAUGUUUUUUUCGACAAAGAACAUAACGGUUAACGUCGUCAAAACAACCAUCACUCAAUGUCAGUCAGGCGCGGCUGUACAAAUCAUUGAUAUCCACUGACAAUGAGUUCAUUGAUUGUACACCUAUACUUAAGAAUCUAGAUUUUAUUACGAAACUGCUCGCACGAAUUUCACAAACAAUUUUUCUUUUUUUUCUUUUUCCUUUAAUUACACCACGAAAAAAGAAACUAUUGACCCAUGCUACUCCGCUCGAUUAUUCCAAUAAUAAUUAUAUUUACGGAUGCAUCGUACAUGCGUUAUUGCCAAUAACAUAUGUACCGCUUCAUCUUCGUACUGUUGUUUCCUGAACAAUCUCACAGAGAUAUACUGAGAUAUUUCCCAUUCGGUGUGUCAAGUCAAGAAAUUACUUAUAAUAUUAAAUAUACGAUAAGCUAAAGAAUAUUCUUCAUUGAAAUUCAUAUAUGAUUCAAAUUCUUCGAAUUUUCCAAUUUUUCUAACUUUUCCGAGACACAACAGCGCAGUGGUCGAACGAAUGUUUCGCCGUUCAAACGUGUUUUACCGACUGAUUGAUAAAAAUUUGCAUAUAUACAACGUACGAAGAUGAAACACAAGGAACGGAAUAUGUAUAUUUAUAUACACGAAUCGGGGAGCAUGUGUUAUGAAUGCAUAAUAUGCAAACAUAUCAGUGUGUAUUUAUAUAAUAUGAAAUGUGUUUUAUGUGCACGUAUUUUCGUUUGAAUGUAAUUUUGUGUGUGUAUGUUCGCGCGCGCGUAUAGAUAGGUAGAUAGGUAAAUAAGUACAGGUGGGUGGGUAGAUGGGUAGGUAGGUAGGUAGGUAGGUAGAUAAGUAGAUAGGUAAGUAGGUAGGUAGGUAGGUAGGUAAGUAGGUACGUAGAUAGAUAGAUAGGUAGAUAGGUAGGUAGAUAGGUAGGUAAGUAGGUAAAUAGGUAGGUACGUGUGUGCGUGUGUGUGUGUAUGUGUGUAUGUAUGUAUGUAUGUAUGUAUGUACGAAACAUGUUGCAUAGACGUUCUGGGAGUGGAAUUAAGAUAUCUCGAGGAUAUGAAAGCAAUCGUUUUAAAAAUGUAGAAAUUCGCUUGUUAAUAAACAUAUACGCAAUAAUUUGGCCAUCGAUUUUGCCAUACAGCGACGAUAAUUUAUGACUACUAUCGUAACUAGGGAUGAAGUCAUUGUGAAAAAGAACCGGAAGUCCAUAAUUGUCUGUUUCUUUUAUAGACAAGGGAACGAUACUUGUUCAGUUAGAAGAAAACGUUUUCACGAAGAAAGACGCACGAGGAUAGCAUAGUCUCAUAAAUUUCAAAUACAUGUGCACAAUAAUACAUGUGUAUAUAAUUUUUUUUUUU
Long non-coding RNA from Apis cerana (Asiatic honeybee), 5415 nucleotides. RefSeq lists it as uncharacterized. Lineage: Eukaryota; Metazoa; Arthropoda; Insecta; Hymenoptera; Apidae. The record is from RefSeq and is a predicted model, not a curated record.